AACGUCUGUACAGCUCCACACAAGUUUUGCUUUGGACUAAGGCAGCACGUUAUCUUCAUUUUCGUGGACUUGUUUCUUAUUUUAACGUCUGCUACAGGUCGUCUUCAGUUACUACGGGACAGCAUCUUCUGCCAGCAUCUACCAGAGGUCAGUCCAGUGGUUGCUUGCAAGAAGUCAUUGAGAUGAUUUUGACGAGAAGGGAGAGCUUCUGUUCCACUGCGUUGAGAUGACAAGCCUUUCAGAUGUUCAGAUGGAGAAAGUGCCACCAACGCCCUUCAUCAUUGUUUGCGGUAAGCCGAAAGAGCAAAAUUCAACUUUUUUUUUUUUUUUCCUGUUGUAACUGCCACGUUCUUGUACUCUUGGCUUGUUUAGUUUCAUGUUCUGUUGCUUCCACACUAAUACACUGGAUAACACAACCAUAUAAGUUCAGCUAGUAACAUAACUAAUCCUAUGAUCCAUGUAACAAGUAUCUCUGUAUUUGUAUAUAUGACUGACAUUAAAGCUCUUGUUAUUAAAGUUUUUAAUUUGUUGUUGUUGUUUUAAUUCUCAGGUUCCUCCUGCUUCGCUGCUGAAACAUUCAUGUUGAGCAUUGACAAGAAGAUUGUCAACGACCGCAUCACAACCUUCACCUCUGCUAUCUGCCUAAUGUUUGGCAGUUACAGUACUACUGCUUUAACAUACACUACCCUGUGGAACUACGAUCAACACUGGAGUUCCUUCAACGGUGUUUCUUUUCCAUAAAUCCUGAGAGAGGCACUAAGGUUGAAUCAAAGAAGAAAAAAGUGUUCUCAGUCAAUCCCAGAGUCCUCACUCUCAUCUCAGACAUUGCUGACCAUGAGUGGAUCUAGUCCUACCCCUCUUGUUUGAGACAAAGUGAUAAAGGUAUACUGUUACAUACUCUACAGAUGUUCUGUUUUUGAAACAUUUCUGAUUGUGAGUGGGAAGUUUUUAACAAUGUGAAGUUUUACUAGACAAAAUUUCUAAAAGUACAUGUUCUACUUUUGAUUCACUGUUUUAUAUAUGAAAAAUGUAUCUGGUAAAAAUGUGGUAAACCUGCUAUUUAUUUUCAAUUUUAACAGAAUAAAAUUGUAUUUUAUUAUUUUUUUUAUAGUUAAUUUUACAGGGAAAAAAUGUGUUUUCUGGCACAAACUUUAUUUUAUGUUAUUUUCAUGUUAAUUUUAGGGAAAAAUAUUAUUUUUUCUUCAAGUUAAAACAUUUUCUUCUACGGUAAAAUAUUGAUCCUAGCACUAUUUUUAACCGUAAAAUCAACAAUAACAAUACCUUCUUACUGUUAAAGAAGAAAAUGUUUCACCCGUAAUUUUACGGUAGAUUUCUGGCAACCACAGCUGCCAGCGUUUUACCGUAAAAUCUACAGUUUUUUUUUUUUUUUUACAGUGCAUAAUUUUAAUUUUAUUUAUUUUAUUUUAUGUUUUGAUUUAUUUUCUUUUUUGGUGGUUUCAGCUCCACAAGUUCCAUGUUAAUUUGAUCUAGUCUUGUUUUAAGUUCUGUAAAUUUUUCUUAUACCUGUUUUUUAUUAUAAGUAGUUGUUCCAUGUUGUUCAUUCAUUGAAUGAAGGGUUGAAACUGGUCUCGCAGGCUGACCUAAAACAGCAAAAACUUUUCUGAGGCCUUGUGGCCAGUGCCAAAUAGUGUUCACACAGGAUAGAUUAAUAAAUGUUCAUGUCCUUGCUGUGGUAGAACCAAACAGCAAACUCCUGGGCUGGCUAUCUUUCAGUGUCGACGUGAGACCAAAUCUAAAAGUGAGUGAGUUCCCACAGUCUCCCAUAUUAGCAUGCUUAUAUGUUUCCAGCCCUGCUAUGGUCUCUAUGGAUAUUUUCCACUUCAUAAAUUGAACUUUUUAUAUAACUAAACUGUUUUUGCUAAUGCUUAAAGCUUGAGGUACUUCUGCUGGUAUCUAUACCCAGGUCUUUUCUACUAAGCUUUACAUCCACUAAUUCCAACCACUGAACUGG
Molecule: long non-coding RNA, 1972 nt
Organism: Oreochromis aureus
Lineage: Eukaryota; Metazoa; Chordata; Actinopteri; Cichliformes; Cichlidae
Source: Ensembl